GAGUUCAUGCCCUCACGGGUAGACCUCCCACCCUUUGUAUACCUUACCUUUUGUUGCUUUGACGGGCCGCCUAGCUACUGGCUUCGGCUGGUAAGUGCCCGCCAGAGGACCCAAACCCAUUUAUAGUGUCGUCUGAGAAAAAAGUUUAAUAUUUAAAACUUUCAACAACGGAUCUCUUGGCUCU
This 184-nucleotide unclassified non-coding RNA is filed under the name rhizosphere metagenome. RNAcentral describes it as "partial ribosomal RNA internal transcribed spacer region". The record is from RNAcentral.